UACAGAGGUGGCAAGCGUUGUUCGGAAUUACUGGGCGUAAAGGGCUCGUAGGCGGUCUUGUAAGUCUCGCGUGAAAUCCCUCGGCUUAACUGAGGAACUGCACGGGAUACUGCAUGACUUGAGAUCGGGAGAGGGAAGCGGAAUUCCGGGUGUAGCGGUGAAAUGCGUAGAGAUCAGGAAGAACACCGGUGGCGAAAGCGCUAUGCUAGGCCGCAACUGACACUGAGGGACGAAAGCUAGGGGAGCGAAUGGG
Molecule: ribosomal RNA, 253 nt
Filed under: uncultured bacterium
Lineage: Bacteria
Description: partial 16S ribosomal RNA
Rfam family: Bacterial small subunit ribosomal RNA
Source: RNAcentral